RNAcentral lists this ribosomal RNA (497 nucleotides) under uncultured bacterium. RNAcentral's name for it is "partial 16S ribosomal RNA". It matches the Rfam family "Bacterial small subunit ribosomal RNA", at positions 28 to 507 of the family's 1533-position model. The record is from RNAcentral.
GAUGAACGCUGGCGGCGUGCCUAAUACAUGCAAGUCGAGCGAACGGACGAGAAGCUUGCUUCUCUGAUGUUAGCGGCGGACGGGUGAGUAACACGUGGAUAACCUACCUAUAAGACUGGGAUAACUUCGGGAAACCGGAGCUAAUACCGGAUGAUAUUUUGAACCGCAUGGUUCAAAAGUGAAAGACGGUCUUGCUGUCACUUAUAGAUGGAUCCGCGCUGCAUUAGCUAGUUGGUAAGGUAACGGCUUACCAAGGCAACGAUGCAUAGCCGACCUGAGAGGGUGAUCGGCCACACGGGAACUGAGACACGGUCCAGGCUCCUACGGGAGGCAGCAGUAGGGAAUCUUCCGCAAUGGGCGAAAGCCUGACGGAGCAACGCCGCGUGAGUGAUGAAGGUCUUCGGAUCGUAAAACUCUGUUAUUAGGGAAGAACAUAUGUGUAAGUAACUGUGCACAUCUUGACGGUACCUAAUCAGAAAGCCACGGCUAACUACGUG